Molecule: long non-coding RNA, 2002 nt
Organism: Oreochromis niloticus (Nile tilapia)
Lineage: Eukaryota; Metazoa; Chordata; Actinopteri; Cichliformes; Cichlidae
Exons: 3
Source: RefSeq, a predicted model, not a curated record
UCCUAUGUUGUUUUUCACUUUUCAUCUGAGAAGCUCAUACAGUUCUAAUGGGGAGUACUAGGUAUAUAGUGAGGUGGUCCAUGUGAGCCAGGUGACCUUGAUAACUCAGAUGAUGACAGAGAUUGUCCAACUCUUCAGAACACCUGGUUCUCCCAUCAGAUUCUCAGGUGAAAGCUGAAAUGUUUUUAUGAAUGUAGAAAGAAGUCCAGUUGGCUUGGACUCAUGUCGAGCUCAUUUCUUCACACAGUGGGCUAAACUGAAGCCAAGCUGCUUGAAAGAGAUCGAAUUCCCAGGUCAUCACCAAAUUUUGCCCUGAUGAUGCAAACGAACACACACAGACUUAAGCACACUGCAAACAUACUGAGAAAGAGCAUGGAGGGCACAGAUUUAAAAAUAAAGCAGUGGUGUAACUAAUAGCAGUAAUGUUAGCUGCAGUUGGCCAUGACUGUGAUGUAUGGCUUGGAGAUGGUGGCACUGACAAAAAGGCACGGAGCAGAGCUGGAGCUGGCAGAGGUGAACACGCUAAGAUCUUCUUUGGGAGUCACCAGGAGGGACAGGAUUAGAAAUGAAUCCAUCAGAAGGACAGCUCAGAGAGGAAGAUGGUUUGGACAUAUGGAGAGGAGGGAUUGUGUAUAUAUUGGACAAAAGAAGACGGAGCUACCAGCCCGGAGGAAAAAGAGAAAGACCCCGAAGAAGGUUGACGUAUGUAGUGAAGGAGGACAUGCAGAUGGUUUGUGUGACAGAAGAGGAUUCUAGGGAUUGGAUGAAAUGGAGGGAGAUGAUCUACUGUGACGACCCCUGAAGGGAACAGUUGGUCAUGACUGGAUUCGGUAUACAGCCCUGUAGCACAACUGGCUUUUGACUUGUGAUAGCAGGGAAAGCAAGUAAUAACAUAAAAGAUGACUCAGGGCCAUCAGACCCAACAUAGGCCUUUAAUUCUGUUACUAAACACACCUGUGGAGUAGUUUAUGCUGUUAUGUCUUAACCAUAAAGAGCCAGCACAUUCACAUUUAAAUAUUUAAAUAAAGUCACUAUAAGUCAGCAUACAUGCUAAAAACAAAUCCUAAAUGUUCAGAAGAUUAAGAUGCUUGCUUUUGAUUAAUCAGCAAUGAUGCCAGUAGCAGUGCACUGAGGUGUGCACACCACAUAGCUUCGGGUUUUUUGGACAAAUCACUCUCUCUUUGACGGCCUUAAUUCUUUUGAAAUAAAUUCAGUUUGGAGCAAGGGAGCAAAUCUCUAGUAAAGCUGCACCUUUAACCAGAGAAGAGCUCUGAACAUCCUGGCUAAUUUAAAACUGCUGUCUAAUUCAGCUAUAAGAAAGGAAAGCCGUACUUAACACAUCAAACGCUAUCUCGUGUUGACAUAGACUCAAACCGCUUCUGUCUCGCCACAUUAAAUCAAAUGCCUUUCUUAAACAACAAAACCAAAGACGGCCUCAGGAUACGUUCAAUUAAAAGGCUUUUAAAUUUCCAUCUCUGAGUUAUUGCCAUUAAAUGAUCGUCUUCUCAGAAAUGAGUCAUAAAUCAUUAAAUUGCCUUUCACAUUGCAAGGAUCCCUCUGGCUCUUAGUACCAGAGUUUGCGUAGCUGUUUGGCCAGACAAGGACAUUCCCCAUAUUUAAUUUUGUCUCUUAUCAUAGUCAGUAAUCACGUCCUCUUAAAACAGAUCGCCCCAAAGACAAAAGUGCAAAAACUAUCUUUGAAGGACACAGACUUAAUAACUUUCCCUGUCAGCUGUGAAAUAUACUAUUAAGGCUGUGAAAAUUAAUACACACAAGUGUGUGCGUGAACAGGCUGAUGGAAAUAAUAAUCUGCUUAUUAUGGCAUAAUCAACAUCCUCUUGUUUUCCUCAACCCUAAAAACACCUGUUUGCCUAUUUUCCCCCCACCUAAUUGCACCAUUUAAUUGCUUAUUUGUGUAAAUAUUGUAGACUUUGUGUUGUGAGACUUCAGCUGCAUCUCCCAAAUUGUCUGUCAGUCCUUGUUUACUUUUUCCCCCUGAAUC